Equus caballus (horse) is the source of this 1606-nucleotide long non-coding RNA. The record is from Ensembl. Lineage: Eukaryota; Metazoa; Chordata; Mammalia; Perissodactyla; Equidae.
GUUUCUGAGAAAACAGUGGAUUCUGUUUUGGAUUUGACAAAGUGAGCUGCCUGCAGAAAUUCUGGGGCAACAGUGUCCUACAGAGAGUCGAGUGAACCCAUCUUGAGCGGGGCACAUCUUGGCUAAAGCUAACAUUUAGAGUCGCAAAUUCUAGUUUAAUUAUGAUUUUGUGCACGAUUCCUAAUAUUGGUUUUACAUUUUAUUAUUGAAGAGGCAGAAAUACUAGUCAUAGAGAGUUUUAUUUAAUAGGGGCUCUGGAGUCAUGGGUGUGGUCGAGAGUACACCUGGAGGACAGGGAGAGAAAGCAGAAAAGACCUCCUCAAGAAAACCGUCCACGUCUUAGACUACCUGGUCUGAACAAGAACAAACUGUCUGGAAAGGAGGCACCUGCUGACCCUGCAGGUGCGCACCAUCCGAUUCCUCGUGUCGGUGAUUCUGACCAACUGCUGGCUGUUGGGUCCCCUGAAUCCACAGCAAACACACUCACUCAUGGCUUAAUCUCCUCCUGCACCAUCUAACUUGCCCACGGGGUCUUUAGUUCUCCUUCUGACAGAGAACCAUUUCACAUCUUAAAACCACUGAGUCAUCAAAAUAAAGUAAAACAGGAAGAACCUGGCAGGCCACAGAGUUGUGUGUCACGGAUGGGACCAGUUUCAAUAACAGUGGUCAACUCAAGGGGCAAGCCCGAUGUCGGGACCCAGACGUGACAGGGAGUAGUGACACCAGGAAGCCGGGCGAAAUGACAGAGGGAACCUGGCAGGAGCCACCAGGAGCCUGUGUCAGCCUGCGCUUCUCCCUGUCAACGCCCACCUCCAGCACCACGGCCUCCCUGCAAGUCCCAGAAAACACGUUUGUCUAGAGCUGAGUUCAGACACAGAAUAGGGUGAAGAAAAUUCCAAUGUAAAACCUAGGAUUGAAAAGAAAAAACACCAGGCGGACUGCGUUCUAUAGUUAUACCCGUGACGCCAUCUUGUUUGUCUUCAGUGGUGUCUUUUUUUGCAGGGGGGAGGUUGCUUUUGGGGAUUUUUGCUGAAAAUAACAGAAACUCCAAUUAAGACUGGGUUAAACAGUAAGAAAUGUUUUAUGUUACCAAAGGAAAAGUCUAGAAAUUGAUUCAGCAGCCUGGUGUUGUCAACAAGAUACUAGCUCUUUCCAUUUCUCUGCUCUCUGGCCUUGCUCUCCCUUCUCUCCAAGGCGAGUCCACCUCAAGGUCUUGGCUGGUAGCAGUGGGGCAGUGGCCUCCUCAACCACACCACCAUAGGAGACAAAGAGGACGUCUCCCCCACUGGAGAAGAGAAGAUGCUCAUUCUGUGGAGUUGAGCAAACCUGAGACACACGCGUCAAGAAGGCCAUUAGGUGGAUUCUGUGUGCGCAUCCUCAUCCAGACUCGUCAGGACCUGGGCUGAGGGUUUGGGAUGGAGAAGAUAUGUGAAAAAAGAUACAUGAAAAACAGAAGAGGGGGAAAGGGGAAAACAGAAGCUACAUGGGAAGAUCUGGCCCUCCACAUCCCAUCAGAAAAUCUGUAGUGAGAGUAACAGGCACAGAUUUGCACUGACUUUCCAAUCCAGUGCAUCCUAUCCAUUCAUUUCUAUAUAAAGUAUUGUAA